CCUACGGGAGGCAGCAGUGAGGAAUAUUGGACAAUGGCCGUAAGGCUGAACCAGCCAAGUCGCGUGAAGGAAGAAGGAUCUAUGGUUUGUAAACUUCUUUUAUAGGGGAAUAAAGGUAUCCACGUGUGGAUAUUUGCAUGUACCCUAUGAAUAAGCAUCGGCUAAGUCCGUGCCCGCAGCCGCGGUAAUGCGGAGGAUGCGAGCGUUAUCCGGAUUUAUUGGGUUUAAAGGGUGCGUAGGUUUUUUUUUAAGUCAGCGGUGAAAGUUUUUGGCUCAACCAUAACAUUGCCGUUGAAACUGGCAGACUUGAGUGUGUUUGAGGUAGGCGGAAUGCGUGGUGUAGCGGUGAAAUGCAUAGAUAUAACGCAGAACUCCGAUUGCGAAGGCAGCUUACUAAGCCAUAACUGACACUGAAGCACGAAAGCGUGGGGAUCAAACAGGAGUAGAUACCCCGGUAGUC
Molecule: ribosomal RNA, 460 nt
Filed under: uncultured bacterium
Lineage: Bacteria
Description: partial 16S ribosomal RNA
Rfam family: Bacterial small subunit ribosomal RNA
Source: RNAcentral